GGCCUACGGGGGGCAGCAGUAGGGAAUAUUGGACAAUGGGCGAAAGCCUGAUCCAGCAACGCCGCGUGCACGAUGACGGCCUUCGGGUUGUAAAGUGCUUUUAAGGGAGAUGAGAAAGGACAGUAUCCCUUGAAUAAGCCUCGGCGAACUACGUGCCAGCAGCCGCGGUAAAACGUAGGAGGCAAGCGUUAUCCGGAUUUAUUGGGCGUAAAGCGCGUGCAGGCCGCUUGGAAAGUUGGAUGUGAAAGCUCCUGGCUUAACUGGGAGAGGUCGUUCAAAACUACCAAGCUAGAGAAUGGGAGAGGGAAGUGGAAUUCCGGGUGUAGUGGUGAAAUGCGUAGAUAUCCGGAGGAACACCAGUGGCGAAAGCGGCUUCCUAGACCAUUUCUGACGCUCAGACGCGAAAGCUAGGGGAGCGAACGGGAUUAGAUACCCCGGUAGUCCC
This 445-nucleotide ribosomal RNA is filed under the name uncultured bacterium. RNAcentral describes it as "bacterial SSU rRNA". It matches the Rfam family "Bacterial small subunit ribosomal RNA", at positions 335 to 797 of the family's 1533-position model. The record is from RNAcentral.